RNAcentral lists this ribosomal RNA (422 nucleotides) under uncultured bacterium. Its description in RNAcentral is "partial 16S ribosomal RNA". It matches the Rfam family "Bacterial small subunit ribosomal RNA", at positions 360 to 774 of the family's 1533-position model. The record is from RNAcentral.
AAUCUUCCGCAAUGGACGAAAGUCUGACGGAGCAACGCCGCGUGAGUGAUGAAGGGUUUCGUAUCGUAAAAACCCGUUGUUAGGGAAGAACAAGUAUCGGAGUCACUACCGGUACAUUGUCGGUACCUGACGAGAAAGUCACGGCUAACUACGAGCAACCAGCCGCGGUAAUACGAAGGUGGCAAGCGUUGUCCGGAUUUAUUUGGCGUAAAGCGCGCGCAGGCGGUCUUUUAAGUAUGAUGUAAAAUCUUACAGCUUAUCUGUAAGCGGUCGUUGGAAGCUGGGGGCCUUGAGUGCAGAAGCGGAGAGUAGCAUUACAUGUGAAGCGGUGAAAUGCGUCGAGAUAUGGACGAACACCAGUGGCGAAGGCGACUCUCUGCUCUGUAACUGACGCUGAGGCGCGAAAGCGUCGGGAUCAAACA